AUUGAACGCUGGCGGCGUGCCUAACACAUGCAAGUCGCACGCGAAAGGGGGCAACCCCGAGUAGAGUGGCGGACGGGUGAGUAACGCGUAGGAAUCUACCUCGUAGUGGGGGACAACCCGGCGAAAGCCAGGCCAAUACCGCAUACGAUCUAUGGAUGAAAGCAGGGGAUCGCAAGACCUUGCGCUAUGAGAUGAGCCUAGGUCGGAUUAGCUAGUUGGUGAGGUAAAGGCUCACCAAGGCGACGAUCCGUAGAUGGUCUGAGAGGAUGAUCAGCCACACUGGAACUGAGACACGGUCCAGACUCCUACGGGAGGCAGCAGUGGGGAAUAUUGGACAAUGGGCGAAAGCCUGAUCCAGCCAUGCCGCGUGUGUGAAGAAGGUCUUCGGAUUGUAAAGCACUUUAAGUCGGGAGGAAGGGCUGUAGGCUAAUACCUUGCAGUUUUGACGUUACCGACAGAAUAAGCACCGGCUAACUUCGUGCCAGCAGCCGCGGUAA
RNAcentral lists this ribosomal RNA (497 nucleotides) under uncultured bacterium. RNAcentral describes it as "partial 16S ribosomal RNA". It matches the Rfam family "Bacterial small subunit ribosomal RNA", at positions 30 to 523 of the family's 1533-position model. The record is from RNAcentral.